Molecule: long non-coding RNA, 597 nt
Organism: Sinocyclocheilus grahami
Lineage: Eukaryota; Metazoa; Chordata; Actinopteri; Cypriniformes; Cyprinidae
Exons: 3
Source: RefSeq, a predicted model, not a curated record
UCUAACCUUGUCAAUGAAUUGACUCAUUUUGAAUAGCUGCCUGGCACGCAGACACAUCUUAAAAGAUAUUGUGUGUGCAGACUGUGCGACUCUAAAUGAGUAAUCUGAUUAUUUUGUUGCUCGAGGUGUCGUAGCAGCAAGCAGCAUUUCCUGUGGAAUCCUCCAGGCCCACUCCACAGCUGACUGUAUGCAGGUGUUUUAAUAAUGCAUGAUUCCCCAUCUCGAGAGAUCCUCAUAUGAUGCAAACUCUCCCUCCUCACGAGCUGCUCUGUAUGCCGCUGAAAUUGCUCAUCUGAGACGACUCCUGUAGGCCCGAGAAAACUCACCAGGGCUCCAUAAUUUGUAUAAUAACAGGAAGUGCCAAGACCCUCGUUGUGUUUAAUGAAAAUGGAGAUGCCCCUGGACGCUAUGACAUCUAUCAGUAUCAGAUAACAAACAGGUCGGCUGAGUACAGAAUCAUCGGCCACUGGACGGAUCAGCUGCAUUUAAAUAUGAAUGCCAUGCAGUGGGCGAGUGGGGACGCAUCUGUGCCGGCGUCUGUAUGCAGCCUGCCCUGUCAGACUGGCGAGCGGAAGAAGGUUGUGAAGGGGGUGCCGU